This 350-nucleotide unclassified non-coding RNA is filed under the name soil metagenome. Its description in RNAcentral is "partial contains 5.8S ribosomal RNA, internal transcribed spacer 2, and large subunit ribosomal RNA". The stretch from base 1 to 120 matches the Rfam family "5.8S ribosomal RNA", at positions 35 to 154 of the family's 154-position model. The record is from RNAcentral.
GAUGAAGAACGUAGCGAAAUGCGAUAAGUAAUGUGAAUUGCAGAAUUCAGUGAAUCAUCGAAUCUUUGAACGCACAUUGCGCCCGCCAGUAUUCUGGCGGGCAUGCCUGUUCGAGCGUCAUUACAACCCUCAGGCCCCCGGGCCUGGCGUUGGGGAUCGGCGGAGCCCCGUGGGCACACGCCGUCCCCCAAAUGCAGUGGCGGUCCCGCCGCAGCUUCCAUCGCGUAGUAGCUAACACCUCGCGACUGGAGAGCGGCGCGGCCACGCCGUAAAACACCCAACUCUUCUGAAGUUGACCUCGAAUCAGGUAGGAAUACCCGCUGAACUUAAGCAUAUCAAUAAGCGGAGGA